AAAGUUCCCUUCGGGGAGCAAGUAGAGUGGCGCACGGGUGAGUAACACGUAGGUAAUCUACCUUUGGAUUGGGAAUAACAACCGGAAACGGUUGCUAAUACCGAAUAAUGCAGCGGCACCUAAUGGUGACAGUUGUUAAAGCGGGGGAUCGCAAGACCUCGCGUCUGAAGAGGAGCCUGCGGCAGAUUAGCUAGUUGGUAAGGUAACGGCUUACCAAGGCUAUGAUCUGUAGCCGGCCUGAGAGGGCGGUCGGCCACACUGACACUGACAUACGGGUCAGACUCCUACGGGAGGCAGCAGUCGGGAAUUUUGGGCAAUGGGCGAAAGCCUGACCCAGCAACGCCGCGUGAAGGAUGAAAUCCUUCGGGAUGUAAACUUCGCAAGAACGGGAAGAAUAAGCCGGUGCAAAUAUCACCGGCGAUGACGGUACUGUUUGUAAGCUCCGGCUAACUCCGUGCCAGCAGCCGCGGUAAUACGGGGGGAGCAAGCGUUGUUCGGAUUUACUGGGCGUAAAGGGCGCGUAGGCGGCCACCGCAAGUCAGUUGUGAAAUCUCUGGGCUUAACCCAGAAAGGUCAACUGAUACUGCGGGGCUAGAGUGCAGAAGGGGCAACUGGAAUUCUCGGUGUAGCGGUGAAAUGCGUAGAUAUCGAGAGGAACACCUGCGGCGAANGCGGGUUGCUGGGCUGACACUGACGCUGAUGCGCGAAAGCUAGGGGAGCGAACGGGAUUAGAUACCCCGGUAGUCCUAGCCUUAAACGAUGAAUGCUUGGUGUCUGGGGUUUUAUAGUCCCCCGGGUGCCGU
This 803-nucleotide ribosomal RNA is filed under the name uncultured Actinomycetes bacterium. RNAcentral's name for it is "bacterial SSU rRNA". It matches the Rfam family "Bacterial small subunit ribosomal RNA", at positions 70 to 849 of the family's 1533-position model. Lineage: Bacteria; Bacillati; Actinomycetota; Actinomycetes. The record is from RNAcentral.